CAGAUAACAGUUACAAAGUUUUGGGGCUGGGGAUUUAGCUCAGCGGCAAAAGCGCCUGCCUGGCAAGCGCAAGGUCGUGAGUUCGGUUCCUGGUACCGGAGAAAAACCAAAAAAAAACCAAAAACCAAAAAAAAAAAAAAAAAAAAAAAAAAAAAAAAAAAAAAAAAAAAAAAAAAAAAAAAAAAAAAAAAAACAAAAAAAAACAAAAAAAAAAAAAAAAUUACAAUAUUUAACCUUCUAAUUCAUGAACAUGGUAUAUCUUUUCAAGUCAUUUAAAAUUUCUCUCAGCCAUGUUUUUGAGUUUUCAGUGUACAAGUCUUUUAUAACAUUAAAUUUAUUCCCAUUUGAGGCAUUUUAGUACUAUUUCAAUUUCUCUAAUUGUCUGCGAUAAUUAUUGUAUAUUGACCUUGUAUCCAAGUACCUUACUACAUUUUCUUACUCUAGUUUUUGAAAUGGAUUUUUUAGGAUUUAUGUAAACAGUCAUGUUGUUGUGAAUAAACACAAUUUUGUCUUUUUCAGUUCAAUCUUUAUGCCUUUUUUCUUGCCUAUGGCUGGUCAGAACUGUAGUACAGUGUUGAUAGAUGAGGUCAAUAUGAAUGUCUACUUUUCCCCAUCUUAGCGGACGAAACAAUUAAUCUUUCACCAUGAUGUUUACACUAUUCCUCUUGUAGAUGCUCUGUCUGAGCAAGUUCCCUUCUUUUCUUGCAAGAUUAUUUUUUGUCACGAACAAAUAUUUUAUGUUCUAUGCAUGUAUUGACAUGAUCAUCAUGUCUUUUCUUGUUCUUCCAGUGCUAUAUUGAUUUUUAAAUUUUAUUUUAAAGAGAGUAGUACAUGAGAAACACAGCAACAAAAAAGUAGAACAGUAGCAGCAUACCAGUAUCACGAACAUAAACAAAUCAAAGCAAAAACAUUCAAAGUGAUACAGGGUCUCAAGACAAAUUAAUACAAAUCAACAGUGGUUCUUACAUUGCAUAUUGCUAUCCUCAACUACAUUGCUCAGAUUAUCAGAUGUAAGAAUGAAAGAUUGGUCAAACCA
RNAcentral lists this long non-coding RNA (1036 nucleotides) under Chinchilla lanigera (long-tailed chinchilla). RNAcentral's name for it is "lncRNA (ENSCLAG00000026209.1)". The record is from RNAcentral. Lineage: Eukaryota; Metazoa; Chordata; Mammalia; Rodentia; Chinchillidae.